This 436-nucleotide ribosomal RNA is filed under the name uncultured prokaryote. RNAcentral describes it as "bacterial SSU rRNA". It matches the Rfam family "Bacterial small subunit ribosomal RNA", at positions 355 to 782 of the family's 1533-position model. The record is from RNAcentral.
UGGGGAAUUUUGGUCAAUGGGCGAAAGCCUGAACCAGCAACGCCGCGUGCAGGAUGAAGGCCCUCGGGUCGUAAACUGCUGUCACGAGGGAAGAACUGUCCGGUGAUCAAUACCCACCGGAUUUGACGGUACCUCAGAAGGAAGGACCGGCUAACUCCGUGCCAGCAGCCGCCGUAAUACGGAGGGAGCAAGCGUUGUUCGGAAUUACUGGGCGUAAAGCGCGUGUAGGCGGCUUGGUAAGUCGGAUGUGAAAUCCCAGGGCUCAACCCUGGAACUGCAUCCGAAACUGCCUCGCUAGAGUCCCGGAGAGGAAGGCAGAAUUCCCAGUGUAAGGGUGAAAUCCGUAGAUAUUGGGAGGAAUACCAGUGGCGAAGGCGGCCUUCUGGACGGUGACUGACGCUCAGACGCGAAAGCGUGGGGAGCAAACAGGAUUAGA